This 262-nucleotide unclassified non-coding RNA is filed under the name uncultured fungus. RNAcentral describes it as "sequence contains ITS2". The record is from RNAcentral. RNAcentral also lists the same sequence under 2 other names. Lineage: Eukaryota; Fungi.
AACGCACAUUGCGCCCAUUAGUAUUCUAGUGGGCAUGCCUGUUCGAGCGUCAUUUCAACCCUUAAGCCUAGCUUAGCGUUGGGAGACUGCGCUAAACCGCAGCUCCUCAAAACCAGUGGCGGAGUCCUCUCGUACUCUGAGCGUAGUAAUUCUUUAUCUCGCUUCUGCAAGUACGGUUGACGACAGCCAUAAACCGCACCCUCUCGGGGGGCACUUUUUAAUGGUUGACCUCGGAUCAGGUAGGAAUACCCGCUGAACUUAA